Molecule: long non-coding RNA, 759 nt
Filed under: Monodelphis domestica (gray short-tailed opossum)
Lineage: Eukaryota; Metazoa; Chordata; Mammalia; Didelphimorphia; Didelphidae
Description: lncRNA (ENSMODG00000038614.1)
Source: RNAcentral
CACACUUCCCACAGCCAAGGCACAAUUUCUUUGGGUAUUACUUGUGUCCUUGAUCAGAACCUAUUUCAAUUAUGUUAUUUGUACUAGGAUGUUCAUUUAGAGUCAACAUCCCCAACCAUAUCCCUUUGACCCAUGGAUUCAAGCAGUUGAGUUUCUCCAGUGUUUUUACUCCCACAGUGUUUCCUCUGGAUGUGGAUAGUGCUUUUUCUCAUCCAAAUUGGAUUUCUGAAUCUAAAACAAGGCUUACUUUGUGCAUAUUCCCCCCAUACUUUUGUCACUUCUGUCAUCCAUGGUUAUGAAUCUAUUUUUUUUAAUGUCCCCAGGAUAAGGUCAGGAGUUGAAUCAAAGGGAUGUUAAUAGUAGAAAUUUCUGGGGCAACAAGGAAGGUGUUGGGUUCUUAUGACUUCAACAGGAGCUCCUAUUUCCAAGUUAAAGAAAUCCAGGGUACACCUGCCCAUACCUGCUCAACCUAGGGCCAAACACUCAGCCAAUAAAAGAUCACAGAGCACUUAUGAUAUGUCACAUCACCAAGGUAACAGGAGGGAUGGUGAUAAACAAAGGGUGGAGCCUGGGGAGAUCAUUUCUGAAAAGAAAAAGAUGAGUGAUAAAGUAGAGAACAAGGAAUACAAGAUGAAAGCAUGUGAUAGCUCUAUUGUGAAUUGACUGUAUGUUCAUCAAAUGAGAGAACAAAUGGAGCACUUUCAAAAUCAGAAGAAGCAAAGCAAUAAAGAAGUACUGAAUUUUCUGGUGAUAAACUAA